CGUGGGUAACCUGCCCAAGAGAUCGGGAUAACACCUGGAAACAGAUGCUAAUACCGGAUAACAACAGAUGAUGCCUAUCAACUGUUUAAAAGAUGGUUCUGCUAUCACUCUUGGAUGGACCUGCGGUGCAUUAGCUAGUUGGUAGGGUAACGGCCUACCAAGGCGAUGAUGCAUAGCCGAGUUGAGAGACUUAUCGGCCACAUUGGGACUGAGACACGGCCCAAACUCCUACGGGAGGCAGCAGCG
This 246-nucleotide ribosomal RNA is filed under the name uncultured Lactobacillus sp. Its description in RNAcentral is "partial 16S ribosomal RNA". It matches the Rfam family "Bacterial small subunit ribosomal RNA", at positions 116 to 356 of the family's 1533-position model. The record is from RNAcentral. Lineage: Bacteria; Bacillati; Bacillota; Bacilli; Lactobacillales; Lactobacillaceae.